RNAcentral lists this ribosomal RNA (253 nucleotides) under uncultured prokaryote. RNAcentral describes it as "partial 16S ribosomal RNA". It matches the Rfam family "Bacterial small subunit ribosomal RNA", at positions 525 to 777 of the family's 1533-position model. The record is from RNAcentral.
ACGGAGGGUGCGAGCGUUGUUCGGAAUUACUGGGCGUAAAGCGCGUGUAGGCGGCUUUCUAAGUCUGGUGUGAAAGCCCGGGGCUCAACCCCGGAAGUGCAUUGGAUACUGGGAAGCUGGAGUACCGGAGAGGAGGGUGGAAUUCCUGGUGUAGCGGUGAAAUGCGUAGAUAUCAGGAGGAACACCGGUGGCGAAGGCGGCCCUCUGGACGGAUACUGACGCCGAGACGCGAAAGCGUGGGGAGCAAACAGGA